RNAcentral lists this ribosomal RNA (253 nucleotides) under uncultured bacterium. RNAcentral's name for it is "partial 16S ribosomal RNA". It matches the Rfam family "Bacterial small subunit ribosomal RNA", at positions 524 to 776 of the family's 1533-position model. The record is from RNAcentral.
UACGUAGGGGGCAAGCGUUGUCCGGAUUCAUUGGGCGUAAAGAGCGUGUAGGCGGCCAGGUAGGUCGGUUGUGAAAACUGGAGGCUCAACCUUCAGAGGUCGACCGAAACCAUCUGGCUAGAGUCCGGGAGAGGAGAGUGGAAUUCCUGGUGUAGCGGUGAAAUGCGCAGAUAUCAGGAAGAACACCGAUGGCGAAGGCAGUUCUCUGGGACGGUACUGACGCUGAGACGCGAAAGCGUGGGGAGCGAACAGG